AGUCCCUGAGGAUGUCUGCACUUUUUUCCUUUCUGAUGUAUGGUUUGGAGGUGCUCUGUUGUAUGGUUUGGAGGUGCUCUGUUGUAUGGUUUGGAGGUGCUCUGUUGUAUGGUUUGGAGGUGCUCUUGUAUGGUUUGGAGGUGCUCUUGUAUGGUUUGGAGGUGCUCUAUUGUAUGGUUUGGAGGUGCUCUGUUGUAUGGUUUGGAGGUGGUCUUGUAUGGUUUGGAGGUGCUCUGUUGUAUGGUUUGGAGGUGCUCUUGUAUGGUUUGGAGGUG
RNAcentral lists this long non-coding RNA (275 nucleotides) under Pan troglodytes (chimpanzee). Its description in RNAcentral is "long non-coding RNA NONPTRT012364". The record is from RNAcentral. Lineage: Eukaryota; Metazoa; Chordata; Mammalia; Primates; Hominidae.